Molecule: ribosomal RNA, 465 nt
Filed under: uncultured bacterium
Lineage: Bacteria
Description: bacterial SSU rRNA
Rfam family: Bacterial small subunit ribosomal RNA
Source: RNAcentral
CCCAGACUCCUACGGGAGGCAGCAGUGAGGAAUAUUGGUCAAUGGGCGGGAGCCUGAACCAGCCAAGUCGCGUGAGGGAAGACGGUCCUACGGAUUGUAAACCUCUUUUGCCGGGGAGCAACGGGGUCCUUGCGAGGGCCCGAUGAGAGUACCCGGAGAAAAAGCAUCGGCUAACUCCGUGCCAGCAGCCGCGGUAAUACGGAGGAUGCGAGCGUUAUCCGGAUUUAUUGGGUUUAAAGGGUGCGUAGGCGGAGUGUCAAGUCAGCGGUAAAAUUUCGGGGCUCAACCCCGUCGUGCCGUUGAAACUGACGCCCUUGAGUGAGUGAGAAGUAAGCGGAAUGCGUGGUGUAGCGGUGAAAUGCAUAGAUAUCACGAAGAACUCCGAUUGCGAAGGCAGCCUACUAAACUGCCACUGACAUUGAUGCUCGAAAGUGUGGGUAUCAAACAGGAUUAGAUACCCCCGUA